AUGGCGGCGCUCACCCCCUCCGCCGGCGCCCGCCUCCUCCGCCGCCUCCUCUCCACCGCCGCCGAGGUGGCGCGGGAGGCGGCGCCCGCCGCCGCGAAGAAUCCGAAGAAAGCGGCGGCACGCCCCGUCAGGAAGCGGGCGGCGCGCGCCGUCGCCCCCCAGGACGCGAAGGAGGCGGCGCCUCCCGCGGCAGAGGCGGCGCCGGACGCGGAGGGCGCGAAGAAGGCGGCGGCGGCGGCGGGGACUAAGGACUCGCGCCCGCUGUACCGGCGGCUGUCGGCGCUGGGGAACGCCAGGGAGGGGAGCGUCUCCGCGGUGCUCAACAAGUGGCUGCGGGAGGGCCGGGAGACGCGCUCCGUGGAUCUCGAGCGGUACGUCAAGGAGCUCCGCAGGUACAAGCGCCAUUCCCACGCCCUCGAGUUGAUGGAUUGGAUGGUUCAUACAAAGGGUAUGAACAUGUCUUACACUAACCACGCAAUACGUUUGGAUCUCAUUUACAAAGUGCGUGGGAUCGAGGCAGCUGAAAAAUAUUUCGAUGGCCUUCCUGACCCAGCCAAGAACCAUCGAACCUAUGGUGCACUUCUGAACUGUUAUUGCUCAUCGAAGAAGGAAGAGAAAGCAACGGACCUUUACCGCAAGAUGGAUGAGCUAGGCAUCUCAUCCAGCACUCUGCCCAUCAACAAUCUCAUGUCCCUAUACAUGAAGUUAGGCCAGCAUAAGAAGGUUUGUAGCCUGUUUGAGGAGAUGAAGGAGAAGAAUGUUAAGCCGGAUAACCUGACAUGCUGCAUUCUAAUGACCAGCUGUGCGGCAUUGAACAAGAUAGACGACGUUGAACAAGUUCUAAAAGAAAUGGAAGAAAAGGGUGGGGUUCUAGGGUGGUCGGCAUACAGCACGCUGGCUUCCAUCUACCAGAGUGCUGGUCUGGUUGAAAAAGCAGAGUCUGCUCUGAAGAAACUUGAGGGCCUUGUUCAAGAUCGUGAUGGCAGACAGCCUUUUGAUUUCCUCAUGAGUCUGUAUGCUUCCGUAGGCAAUCUGAGUGAGGUGAAGAGGGUGUGGGGUGUGGUUAAGGGCACUUUCCCAAAAGUGACCAACACGAGCUACUUCAGCAUGCUGCAGGCCCUUCUCAAGCUCAAUGAUGCCGAUUACAUGAAGCAGGUCUUUGAGGAAUGGGAGUCUAAUCAUGAGUGCUACGACGUGAAGCUGACUAACGUGAUGACCCGAGCCCACCUGAGGAAUGACAUGGCCAAGGAAGCAGAGCAGUUGUGGGAGAAGGCCAAGGAAAUGGGUGCGUGUUUCGACUCUAAAACAUGCGAGCUGUUUCUCGACCACUACAUGGGGACAGGGGACAUGAAAUCGGCGCUGAACUGGGUGGAGAAUGUGACGAAGCUCCCCAAGAAAGCAGGGAAGCUGGAUCCUGAUAAGGUCCCGAAGUUCUCCAAGUACUUUGAAGAGCAGAAGGACGUGCAAGGCGCCGAGGGGUUCUGCUGCUGCCUGAGGGCGCUCGGGUGCAUCGACGGCAAAGCCUACGAGUCCCUCCUGCGGACCUAUCUGGCGGCCGGCGAGACGAGCCGCUCCCUCCGGCAGCAGAUCAAAGACGACAAGGUCGAGAUUUGCUACGACAUCGGGAAGCUGCUCAAGAGGCUGGGCGACAAGGGGCGAUGA
RNAcentral lists this ribosomal RNA (1662 nucleotides) under Triticum aestivum (bread wheat). Its description in RNAcentral is "partial small subunit ribosomal RNA". The record is from RNAcentral. Lineage: Eukaryota; Viridiplantae; Streptophyta; Magnoliopsida; Poales; Poaceae.